This 2001-nucleotide ribosomal RNA is filed under the name human gut metagenome. Its description in RNAcentral is "bacterial LSU rRNA". It matches the Rfam family "Bacterial large subunit ribosomal RNA", at positions 1 to 2022 of the family's 2925-position model. The record is from RNAcentral.
UUAAGUGAAUAAGGGCGUACGGUGGAUGCCUAGGCACUUGGAACUGAAGAAGGACGCAACAAACGGCGAAACGCGACGGGGAGUGGUACGUACACAAAGAUCCGUCGAUAUCCGAAUGGGGAAACCCGGCAGCAGUAAUGAGCUGUCACCCAUGAGUGAAUACAUAGCUCAUGAGGGAGGUACCCGGAGAACUGAAACAUCUAAGUAUCCGGAGGAAAAGAAAAUAAGAAUGAUUCCGUAAGUAGCGGCGAGCGAACGCGGAGGAGCCCAAACCAGAUCUUGAUCUGGGGUUGUAGGACCACGAAAUGGCAAGAGCAUGGCUAAGAGAACGGCAUUGAAAGGCCGACCGGAGAGGGUGCAAGUCCCGUAACUGAAAGCAAUGUGAAGCCUAGUGGUAUCCUGAGUACGGCGAGACACGAGAAAUCUUGUCGGAAGCAGGCGGGACCAUCCGUCAAGGCUAAAUAUACCCAAGUGACCGAUAGUGAACCAGUACCGUGAGGGAAAGGUGAAAAGAACCGCGGGAGCGGAGUGAAAUAGAACCUGAAACCGUAUGCUUACAAGAAGUCAGAGCCCGUUAAAGGGUGAUGGCGUGCCUUUUGUAGAAUGAACCGGCGAGUUACGUUAUCGUGCGAGGUUAAGUAGAAGAUACGGAGCCGAAGCGAAAGCGAGUCUUAAUAGGGCGACAGUACGAUGAUGUAGACCCGAAACCGUGUGAUCUAGCCAUGACCAGGUUGAAGUUCAGGUGAAACUGAAUGGAGGACCGAACCGACCCCCGUUGAAAAGUUGGCGGAUGAGUUGUGGCUAGGGGAGAAAUUCCAAUCGAACACGGAUAUAGCUGGUUCUCCCCGAAAUAGCUUUAGGGCUAGCGUCGAGGUAGAGUCGCAUGGAGGUAGAGCACUGAAUGUACGAUGGCCCCAUCCCGGGGUACUGAGUAUAAUCAAACUCCGAAUGCCAUGAAGACGUACUCGGCAGUCAGACUGUGGGUGAUAAGGUCCAUGGUCAAAAGGGAAACAGCCCAGACCGCCAGUUAAGGUCCCAAAAUGUAUGCUAAGUGGAAAAGGAUGUGGGGAUGCACAGACAACUAGGAGGUUGGCUCAGAAGCAGCCAUCCUUCAAAGAGUGCGUAACAGCUCACUAGUCGAGUGACCCUGCGCCGAAAAUGUACCGGGGCUAAGCAUACUACCGAAGCUGCGGAUUCAACUUUAGAGUUGAGUGGUAGGGGAGCGUUGCAUGCACGUAGAAGCCGUACCGUAAGGAGCGGUGGAGAGCAUGGAAGAGAGAAUGCCGGUGUGAGUAGCGAGAUGUAGGUGAGAAUCCUACACACCGAUAGCCCAAGGAUUCCAGGGGAAGGUUCGUCCGCCCUGGGUAAGUCGGGACCUAACGCGAGGCCGAAAGGCGUAGUGGAUGGAAAACAGGCAGAUAUUCCUGUACCCGCGAUGGAAAUGAAGGAAUGACGGAGAAGGCUAGUGUGAGCCACUGAACGGAUUGUGGUCAAAGCAUAUAGCAGGCUGACAGUGAAAUGCGUCAGCGGGAUGUAAGAUGUGACAGGUAAGGGAACGUCCUUGGACAAGUACUGAAGCACAUGAUGCCAGCUUCCAAGAAAAGUUUCUAGUGAUAAUUCCAUAGCGGCCCGUACCAAAACCGACACAGGUGGGCAAGGAGAGAAUCCUGAGGUGAGCGAGAGAACUGUUGCCAAGGAACUCGGCAAAAUGACUCCGUAAGUUAGCGAUAAGGAGUGCUCUUGUAAAAGAGAGCCGCAGUGAAGAGGCCCAAGCGACUGUUUAACUAAAACACAGCUCUCUGCAAAGUCGCAAGACGAAGUAUAGGGGGUGACGCCUGCCCGGUGCUGGAAGGUUAAGAGGAUUUGUCAUCCGCAAGGAGAAGCAAUGAAUUGAAGCCCCAGUGAACGGCGGCCGUAACUAUAACGGUCCUAAGGUAGCGAAAUUCCUUGUCAGGUAAGUUCUGACCCGCACGAAAGGCGUAACGAUUUGGGCGCUGUCUC